This 402-nucleotide ribosomal RNA is filed under the name Triticum aestivum (bread wheat). RNAcentral describes it as "partial small subunit ribosomal RNA". Lineage: Eukaryota; Viridiplantae; Streptophyta; Magnoliopsida; Poales; Poaceae. The record is from RNAcentral.
AUGAAUACCAUGAGGGGGGAAGAAAGAUCUUGCUCCCAUUACGCGUUGGUCCUUGCAGUCGUAGUCAGCACAAAGAAAAGAAUGGGUGGUUCACACUGUGACGUUUCACUCACGGCUGCCUGCUAUAAUCCACUGACAAGUCAAUUUCCAAAUCUUACUGAAUACCGACCGCGCAGAAUAUUCCUCCUUUUGCAGGCGUCCACUCAUUCUUGGCCCAGUCUGUCUAGAAUUGUUACUUCAAGCAAUAAUUUAGUUAACCUGACAUCACUUGCCUUACCGUUUUCACCAAACAAAUCUCAGCUUUUCCCACUAAUACUAAUGAAAAAAAUAUAUCAGUUCUUGAUGCAUCCUUUUGUGAACAGGAAAGAGAAGCUGGGCAUCCGGGAAAGAAGCAGUCGGUGA